AUGCAAAGCAAUUCAAGGAAAAGAGAAGGAGAGGAAUUUCGCAGUCUCUCAGGACAUGUGCAGAAGGGAGGAUUUCUGGAGCCUAAACAAGAGGAGCCCAGGAGAUGCUGGUGUGAAGGCUCACUGCAAGCACCUGCUGCUUCUGGAGGAGUUCCUGUGGCAAUGCAUGUCCUCAGGAUGAAUAGCAAUUACGCCGCUAAAAACAAGAUCACCACACCUGUACAAGAAAAGACAAGCAAGCCCAAAACAUCUGUUUGCAUCCACCUGCCAAGCACCUGUUCCGCUGUUUCAAUGCCAUUUGAUUGCUGGAGAUGUAGAGGCUCUUGUGAGGCCGGUGGUCACACAGGGAACUGUAUGCAGAAUCCAUCAGCCCAUGCUCCUCAUCAUGAACUCAGUUAUUCUUUGAGACCAUCUCCCAGAGAUGAGGAAGAUGUGUUAAUCCAAACGAAGAGACGCAGCCAAGCUUGGAGCAUCCUUUCUGCUGCUUCCCAAGGUAAGCCUGCAGCUGGCGUGGCUUCGUGCCUUCAGCCAAGGCCAUUUUGA
This 543-nucleotide long non-coding RNA is filed under the name Chrysolophus pictus (golden pheasant). RNAcentral describes it as "lncRNA (ENSCPIG00010014846.1)". Lineage: Eukaryota; Metazoa; Chordata; Aves; Galliformes; Phasianidae. The record is from RNAcentral.